This 292-nucleotide ribosomal RNA is filed under the name Mucochytrium quahogii. Its description in RNAcentral is "labyrinthulid quahog parasite QPX partial Bacterial large subunit ribosomal RNA". It matches the Rfam family "Bacterial large subunit ribosomal RNA", at positions 1236 to 1524 of the family's 2925-position model. Lineage: Eukaryota; Bigyra; Thraustochytrida; Thraustochytriidae. The record is from RNAcentral.
GCGUUCCAAGCAGCAGUGAAGCGGUAUCGUGAGGAGCCGUGGAGCGCUUGGAAGUGAGAUGCCUGUGUGAGUAGCGAAAAGAGGGGUGAGAAUCCCCUCCGUCGAAAGCCCAAGGUUUCCUGAGGAAGGCUCGUCCGCUCAGGGUUAGUCUGGACCUAAGCCGAGGCCGAAAGGCGUAGGCGAUGGACAACAGGUUGAUAUUCCUGUACCGCCGUACCACCGUUUGAACGAUGGGGGGACGCAGAAGGAUAAGGUAACCGUGCGAAUGGAAGUGCACGGACAAGCAGCGAGG